UACGGAGGAUGCAAGCGUUAUCCGGAAUGAUUGGGCGUAAAGCGUCCGCGGGUGGCUAUGUAAGUCUGCUGUUAAAGAGCAAAGCUUAACUUUGUAAAAGCAGUGGAAACUACAUAGCUAGAGUGCGUUCGGGGCAGAGGGAAUUCCUGGUGUAGCGGUGAAAUGCGUAGAUAUCGAGAGGAACACCUGCGGCGAAGGCGGGUAGCUGGGCCGACACUGACGCUGAGGCGCGAAAGCCAGGGGAGCGAACGGG
Molecule: ribosomal RNA, 253 nt
Filed under: uncultured bacterium
Lineage: Bacteria
Description: partial 16S ribosomal RNA
Rfam family: Bacterial small subunit ribosomal RNA
Source: RNAcentral